RNAcentral lists this unclassified non-coding RNA (365 nucleotides) under soil metagenome. RNAcentral describes it as "partial contains 5.8S ribosomal RNA, internal transcribed spacer 2, and large subunit ribosomal RNA". The stretch from base 1 to 120 matches the Rfam family "5.8S ribosomal RNA", at positions 35 to 154 of the family's 154-position model. The record is from RNAcentral.
GAUGAAGAACGCAGCGAAAUGCGAUAAGUAAUGUGAAUUGCAGAACUCAGUGAAUCAUCGAAUCUUUGAACGCACAUUGCGCCCGCCAGCAUUCUGGCGGGCAUGCCUGUUCGAGCGUCAUUUCAACCCUCGCAGCCCAUCUGGGCAGCGGUGUUGGGGACCGGCACCACCGGCGAAGCCCUUAGGGGCCCAGCCGGCGCCGCCCCCGAAAUACAGUGGCGGUCUCGCUGCAGCCUCCCUUGCGUAGUAGCACACCUCGCACCGGAGCGCAGCGCGGCCACGCCGUAAAACCCCCGACUUUCUGAGUUUGACCUCGAAUCAGGUAGGAAUACCCGCUGAACUUAAGCAUAUCAAUAAGCGGAGGA